ACAGGAGGGAGUUCAUGCACGCGCCUCGCCACCCCUCGGAAUGGGAGGGGGUCACCCAUGGGCUACGCCACCCCUCAGCGAGGGAGUAAUGACACUAUUAAACCUGACAUUUCAUGAAUGGCUCUUUCCACUUUCACAGCUGAAGGAGCAGGCAUCUCUUAAGGUUUGCAUCUUCCUUCUACCUCUGUACUCCAAGUUCCUGGCUGGCACUGGAAUUACAUCCUUAGCAUGCACAUCAUAACCUCCAGGUGAGAAAAUAAAAAGACCCUGGAAGACAAGUGUAAUGCAUUGAGGUCUGUGAAAGCCACAAAGGAAGCAAAAGUCAAACAGCUGAAGGAAAAAGCACAUAACCUGGAAGAAUUCUAUGAACAAAGAAAAGUGGCUACAGAAAAACUGGAUUGGAUGGAAGGAAAGAGGCUGUCUGAGGGAUACAUGAGGCAGAAACCAAUGCCUGGAAGACCAGAGACGCAGAACCCUCCAAGGAGAGGGUCUUUAGUAGAUCCAGAAACUCUGAAACCUCUGUGAGUUACAGCAGCUCUGUACCAAGAAUGCAGACAAGGACAAGGGCAGUCUGGAUUCUGGGGACCUCCUCCAUUAAUGGGCGAUUCUGCAUGCUCUACCCUAGAGGCACCCCGCCCCCAUGGACUAUUAGGCACAUCCACCUCCUGAAUCUUGGUGGCCCUGGGGCCACCCCGAACCCCUCCACCUGCAACACUUGGUGUCUCUUGUAGAGAAGGAAUGGGGCUGUGUGCAGAAAAGCAGACAUAGCGCUUCAGCAGAAAUGCCCUGUACACAUUCCACAUGCUGGGAUCUGUGAGGCAUGAGGCACAGCCUAACGUAUGUCCAUCUAGUCGGGCCCCAGCCAUCCAUAGU
Molecule: long non-coding RNA, 873 nt
Organism: Leopardus geoffroyi (Geoffroy's cat)
Lineage: Eukaryota; Metazoa; Chordata; Mammalia; Carnivora; Felidae
Exons: 7
Source: RefSeq, a predicted model, not a curated record